AUUGAACGCUGGCGGCAUGCCUUACACAUGCAAGUCGAACGGUAACAGGGAGCUUGCUCCGCUGACGAGUGGCGAACGGGUGAGUAAUGUAUCGGAACGUACCAUUCAGUGGGGGAUAACGUAGCGAAAGUUACGCUAAUACCGCAUAUUCUGUGAGCAGGAAAGCAGGGGAUCGCAAGACCUUGCGCUGAUUGAGCGGCCGAUAUCAGAUUAGCUAGUUGGUGAGGUAAAGGCUCACCAAGGCGACGAUCUGUAGCGGGUCUGAGAGGAUGAUCCGCCACACUGGAACUGAGACACGGUCCAGACUCCUACGGGAGGCAGCAGUGGGGAAUUUUGGACAAUGGGGCAACCCUGAUCCAGCCAUGCCGCGUGAGUGAAGAAGGCCUUCGGGUUGGUAAAGCUCUUUCGGCCGGGAAAAAUACGCAUCAGUUAAUACCUGGUGUGGAUGAUGGUACCGGAAUAAGAAGCACCGGCUAACUACGUGCC
Molecule: ribosomal RNA, 486 nt
Filed under: uncultured bacterium
Lineage: Bacteria
Description: bacterial SSU rRNA
Rfam family: Bacterial small subunit ribosomal RNA
Source: RNAcentral